GCCCGGAUAGCUCAGUCGGUAGAGCAGAGGAUUGAAAAUCCUCGUGUCGGUGGUUCGAUUCCGCCUCUGGGCACCA
This 76-nucleotide transfer RNA is filed under the name Vibrio cholerae. RNAcentral's name for it is "tRNA-Phe". It matches the Rfam family "tRNA". From Rfam's summary of the family: Transfer RNA (tRNA) molecules are approximately 80 nucleotides in length. Their secondary structure includes four short double-helical elements and three loops (D, anti-codon, and T loops). The record is from RNAcentral. Lineage: Bacteria; Pseudomonadati; Pseudomonadota; Gammaproteobacteria; Vibrionales; Vibrionaceae. RNAcentral also lists the same sequence under 3 other names.